GCCGCCCCCGCCUCUCUCUCUCUCUCUCUCUCUCUCUCUCUCUCUAUAUAUAUAUAUAUAUGUGUGUGUGUGUGUGUGUAUGUAUUAGUUCUUGAAUUCAAUUUACUAGUUAUGGUUUGUUGUUGAUUGUACGGAAACCUAGGCUUCCUCCAACAAACAAUGAUGGAGGAUUUGCCUUUAUUGCUUCCAUGUUCAAUCUGGAGUGCUUCCAAUUAAUAAAGUCGAAAGUACUUUUUUUUCCCCUAUGUCACCAG
Molecule: long non-coding RNA, 254 nt
Filed under: Olea europaea (common olive)
Lineage: Eukaryota; Viridiplantae; Streptophyta; Magnoliopsida; Lamiales; Oleaceae
Description: long non-coding RNA (OEUR_LNC000832)
Source: RNAcentral